CUAGUAAGUUCAAAGAACAAGAUCCACAGAUUGAGUAGUUUGUUAGUUUUUUCUGCUGGUCAAAAAUUGAAGUUGUGGAACAUUUCUUUUUGAUGAAUUAGACCUCUUCCCCCUGUCCCUGAUUUGGAGAUAUCAGAGAAGUCUGUUGAACAGGCAGCUGAUGUGAUUCGAGCAUGGGUUAAUCAUGCAUUGGCACUUGCUCAUGAGAUUGCCAUUUGUGGGAAUCUGAGGAUUCUUCUUCAGGUUGCUGCAUUGUUGUGGUUUAUUUCCUCUAUUGGUAGCUUGUGCAAUUUCAUCACAUUUGUCUACAUUGGAGUGCUUCUUGCUCUAUCAAUUCCAGUAUUGUAUGAUAAUUACCAGAGCCAGAUUGAUGUUCCUGUUGGUGAUACUACAAAUGAAGACACUAUCACAUAAUAAUA
Amaranthus tricolor (Joseph's coat) is the source of this 419-nucleotide long non-coding RNA. RefSeq lists it as uncharacterized. The transcript has 3 exons. The record is from RefSeq and is a predicted model, not a curated record. NCBI's taxonomy places the organism in Eukaryota, Viridiplantae, Streptophyta, Magnoliopsida, Caryophyllales, Amaranthaceae.